GGGUAUAGCUUAAGUGGUAGAGCACAUGCUUAGCAUGCAGGAAGGUCCUGGGUUCAAUCCCCAGCAUGUCCU
Molecule: transfer RNA, 72 nt
Filed under: Camelus bactrianus (Bactrian camel)
Lineage: Eukaryota; Metazoa; Chordata; Mammalia; Artiodactyla; Camelidae
Also listed under: 2 other names
Rfam family: tRNA
About the family: Transfer RNA (tRNA) molecules are approximately 80 nucleotides in length. Their secondary structure includes four short double-helical elements and three loops (D, anti-codon, and T loops). Further hydrogen bonds mediate the characteristic L-shaped molecular structure. tRNAs have two regions of fundamental functional importance: the anti-codon, which is responsible for specific mRNA codon recognition, and the 3' end, to which the tRNAs corresponding amino acid is attached (by aminoacyl-tRNA synthetases). tRNAs cope with the degeneracy of the genetic code in two manners: having more than one tRNA (with a specific anti-codon) for a particular amino acid; and 'wobble' base-pairing, i.e. permitting non-standard base-pairing at the 3rd anti-codon position.
Source: Rfam by way of RNAcentral